UACGUAGGGGGCGAGCGUUGCCCGGAAUUAUUGGGCGUAAAGAGCUCGUAGGCGGUGUGUCACGUCGUUCGUGAAAACCUGCAGCUUAACUGUGGGCUUGCGGUCGAUACGGGCAUCACUGGAGUUCGGCAGGGGAGACUGGAAUUCCUGGUGUAGCGGUGAAAUGCGCAGAUAUCGGGAGGAACACCGGUGGCGAAGGCGGCCUUCUGGACGGAUACUGACGCUGAGACGCGAAAGCGUGGGGAGCAAACAGG
RNAcentral lists this ribosomal RNA (254 nucleotides) under uncultured bacterium. Its description in RNAcentral is "partial 16S ribosomal RNA". It matches the Rfam family "Bacterial small subunit ribosomal RNA", at positions 524 to 776 of the family's 1533-position model. The record is from RNAcentral.